Non-coding RNA from Schistosoma curassoni, 45 nucleotides. The record is from Rfam. Lineage: Eukaryota; Metazoa; Platyhelminthes; Trematoda; Strigeidida; Schistosomatidae.
AUCCAGAUGACGAGUCUCAAAUAGGAUGAAACUUGCGUCCUGGAU